This 24-nucleotide small RNA is filed under the name Arabidopsis thaliana (thale cress). Its description in RNAcentral is "ATSL236000". The record is from RNAcentral. Lineage: Eukaryota; Viridiplantae; Streptophyta; Magnoliopsida; Brassicales; Brassicaceae.
AGUUCUCUCUUGUUUCCGUCUGCU